Passer domesticus (house sparrow) is the source of this 425-nucleotide long non-coding RNA. RefSeq lists it as uncharacterized. The record is from RefSeq and is a predicted model, not a curated record. The transcript has 2 exons. NCBI's taxonomy places the organism in Eukaryota, Metazoa, Chordata, Aves, Passeriformes, Passeridae.
CACAAGAGCCCUGGGGUGAGGCACAUCCAGCACAAAGACCUGGAAAAGCUCCUGAGAGCACAGGAACCGCCCCCCCCAGGCUCCCCUCUCUGCUUCUGGGCUUCUCAGCUCAGCUCUGCAGGCAUUUUCAUCCAAUUACACAAAACCACCCAAACUCAUGGAGAAGAAGGAGAAGGAGAAGGAGAAGGAGAAGGAGAAGGAGAAGGAGAAGGAGAAGGAGAAGGAGAAGGAGAAGGAGAAGGAGAAGGAGAGAAGAAGAAGGAGAAGGAGAAGGACCAGCCUCCGUCCUAAAACCUCCAUCUUUAUAUCUAUUACUAUAUUCUAAAACCUUCAACUCUUAAGUUUUCCACCCUGUGAUAUUUCCACACUUCUAUUGAAACUCCACACGCACAAUCCCAGUGCUAUAAUUCAAUUUUGGAAGCUUC